RNAcentral lists this ribosomal RNA (292 nucleotides) under uncultured bacterium. Its description in RNAcentral is "partial 16S ribosomal RNA". It matches the Rfam family "Bacterial small subunit ribosomal RNA", at positions 505 to 796 of the family's 1533-position model. The record is from RNAcentral.
GUGCCAGCAGCCGCGGUAAUACGAAGGGGGCUAGCGUUGUUCGGAAUUACUGGGCGUAAAGCGCACGUAGGCGGAUCGGUCAGUUAGGGGUGAAAUCCCAGAGCUCAACUCUGGAACUGCCUUUAAUACUGCCGAUCUCGAGUCCGGAAGAGGUGAGUGGAAUUCCGAUUGUAGAGGUGAAAUUCGUAGAUAUUCGCAAGAACACCAGUGGCGAAGGCGGCUCACUGGCCCGGUACUGACGCUGAGGUGCGAAAGCGUGGGGAGCAAACAGGAUUAGAUACCCCGGUAGUCC